RNAcentral lists this ribosomal RNA (449 nucleotides) under uncultured bacterium. RNAcentral's name for it is "bacterial SSU rRNA". It matches the Rfam family "Bacterial small subunit ribosomal RNA", at positions 354 to 796 of the family's 1533-position model. The record is from RNAcentral.
GUGGGGAAUAUUGGACAAUGGGCGAAAGCCUGAUCCAGCCAUGCCGCGUGUGUGAAGAAGGUCUUCGGAUUGUAAAGCACUUUAAGUUGGGAGGAAGGGCAGUAAGUUAAUACCUUGCUGUUUUGACGUUACCGACAGAAUAAGCACCGGCUAACUUCGUGCCAGCAGCCGCGGUAAUACGAAGGGUGCAAGCGUUAAUCGGAAUUACUGGGCGUAAAGCGCGCGUAGGUGGUUUUGUAAGUUGGAGGUGAAAUCCCCGGGCUCAACCUGGGAACUGCCUCCAAAACUGCAUGACUAGAGUACGGUAGAGGGUAGUGGAAUUUCCUGUGUAGCGGUGAAAUGCGUAGAUAUAGGAAGGAACACCAGUGGCGAAGGCGACUACCUGGACUGAUACUGACACUGAGGUGCGAAAGCGUGGGGAGCAAACAGGAUUAGAUACCCCGGAGUCC